This 340-nucleotide long non-coding RNA is filed under the name Carica papaya (papaya). RNAcentral's name for it is "long non-coding RNA (CPAP_LNC005939)". Lineage: Eukaryota; Viridiplantae; Streptophyta; Magnoliopsida; Brassicales; Caricaceae. The record is from RNAcentral.
GCACGCUGGCGUCGGUACCACGCGGAUAAUCCGCGUGCUCCACGAUCGAACGACCCAUGAUCGAUUUUGUGCGCGUGGACGAUCCGGAUUUAUUUUUCCCUUAGACGUGAUUGGAUGGUCGAGAUCAAUCACAAUAGACGAUCUAGAUUCAUUUUCUCUUUAGGUGCGAUCGGACGAACGAGAUCAAUCGCGAUAGAUGGCCUAGAUCAACGCAGAAUAGGUAUAAAUACUUCGCAUCACAUGAAAACCCAAACUCUAGCCUCUAGCCCCCACCGGAGAAGAAGAACCAGGCACCAAAGAAAGAGGCCGACUGACGACUGUUGAUUCACCGGAGCCACCG